AUUAAACAAGAUUUAUUAUACACAGGUUUACAAGAAAUAUUAUACAAAUUGAAAUGUUAAAUUAACUGUUAAAUCAUAUGUCCGAUCCUUUGUCUUUUCUUUAUCCGGAAUUCUUCUCUUAACUGUACGGAAUAUGUCCAAUCUAGUAUGAUGUAGUUAACGUACAUCAAGUGUCAAUACAACAACGUAAGAGAACUUCUGUGAAUCAAAGUAAAUAAAUGACUAAAAAAGUCUAAUUUCGGUGUCUCUAUAUGUAGUUGUCACGGAAACUUCUAGAACACUGUAGAACGGAAACUCAUAGAAAACCUUAGUACGGAAACGUCUAGAAUACGGUAGAAGUUUCAAUUACACAUCGUAUAUUAUGAUCAUUUCAGAAUUAUUAUGUCAGUCAAAUAGAAAGUUCUAAUCGUUCCAACGUUCUAAACUGCACAAUUAUAACAUUAUUUUGUAAACAACUAUAAAUAUGAUAUAAACAUAUUAUACAUAUUAUAAGGCCACACAAAACAAAUUAGGCCAAGAUAAAUAAACAUGAUAAUAACAAUAUCAUAACAACAUGUAUACUGAAACAUAACUAAUCAUUCCUUUCAAUCAAGCCAAGUAAAUUUUUACGAACAUUUUCCUUGUACAAUCAGAGUUGUAUUAUUUUGAACUAUUGGCAAACAGAAAGUCGCCACAACUCAACAUUAUCAAGUUGCGCACCAAAUAUGAAAUAAUUCCCUUUCAACGAAGCCGUGAAAACGUUGACGAAAUGUUUCUAUCAAAGACAUGACGAUGUGGGCGAAACAGGUAAAACACAUUCUAGUCAAACCAGUUGCAACUUUACUUCAUGAUUUCGAAAGACUACACAUUUAAAUAUAAUCAUAACAUUUUAUAAAACAAAAGAAAUAACAUUCAUAUACAUAUUACAAAAUUAUGUAUAGUAGUCUCGCGCGUUAAAUAUAAUACAAUUUCAAUCUACAUGUUUACUAGUUUAAAUGCAGAAAGAACGUAUAAAUCAAAUAUAUGUAUGAUAAUUGAAUCCACAUAAAGAAAUACAUUGUAGGGUUAUAGACAUAUUGUGUACAAUUUGAAUAAUAACUUGAAGUACUAGAAAAGUCUACAGUGUUGAUUUGUUUCGAAUCAAUUACCUAGGACUAUUCCGACAGUGUAUAAUGCUUUUCAAUACGUUAAGUUUUAUAAUAACAUUUUUUGUAGGAUAAAUAGAAAAGUGAAAUCAAUUUGAAUAAGUAACGGACACUAGGAUAUUGAUUGUAGUUAUAUAACACUUGAUUGGUAAGAAGUAUAGCUAAUUAUUUUGAAUUUGAUAUAAUAUUCAGUUACGGGAGAGCAUUUAAUAAUUAUCUGACAUAAGAAAAUAUAAAAGUAUAAAUGAUUCGUGUGAUGCAACACGUACGACAUAAUUCUUAUGUGGUUAAAACAGAUUUUAGGGAAACAAUUGUAAAGUUUCUAUUUUGAUGUAUCAGAAUCAUAUUUAUUUUAAA
Molecule: long non-coding RNA, 1481 nt
Organism: Mytilus californianus (California mussel)
Lineage: Eukaryota; Metazoa; Mollusca; Bivalvia; Mytilida; Mytilidae
Exons: 2
Source: RefSeq, a predicted model, not a curated record